CCUCUGUGGUCUGGGGGUGUGUUUUCUAAGCGUCCUCAGGAAGGAUGAGAUGAAAGACUGCUGCCUUACAAGUCAGCCUUCAUUCAAAGUCUGCUGCCUUCUGUAGCUGCUUGGGAGACAGAGCCAGGCCAAACGGCUGGACUUCUUCAGUCGCACCCUGAAGUCAAGUAUCCAUUUUCAGAUGUGUGGAAGAGAUGCCCAAAAGCAAAAAGGCAACCACUGCAAGCCUGCAGAGCACCAGGAUGCUGUGGUGCAAGGGCAGUACAAGCAGCAGUGCCAGGAGCCUGGAGGACUCUCAGGCAGGAGGGGGAAGCCUGUGCCCAAAUUCAACAAGCUUCUGGUUUAAGAGGUCUUUGCUAAUUUAGAAGGAGCCUAUCUGGAAUGGACAAAUGCAGGCAUCAGGUCAACUGCCAAAAAAAGAGCAGACAGGAAGUGAAAAUCAUUACUUUUAUGAUGGACACCUUAAGGACUGAUCAGCUACAAAAACAGAUGAACUUUCUUUUCACCUUACACUGUGUACUUGGGUCAGUGUACGCGGACAGGAGCAGAGCACUGCCUCUGCCCCCGGGCUUUCUGAAGAAGCCUGCUGAUCUUUAAUUAGCCCACCUCUAGGUGCCCACCUCAGCCGUGAUUUACAGGUCCAGUUUCACCUGAGAGCUGCUGACCCACAGGAGGACCUGCGAGGCUGUACCCAGAGAUAAGGUGAGAGCUGAGCCCUGGCUUGUCAGCAGAGCCAGCGGAGAGGUCGGCCCUUGCCCAGGGUCAUCCAUCGAGCUUACAGAGGGAAACAUCCCCGCAGGGAGGAAGGGCUUGCUGGGCUAGCUAAAGGUCUAAGGCAGAGAUAAAGCCUUUUGGAGGCAGCCUGUUACCGUGGUGUCUGCCUUCCUGGCUAGGCAUGCAGACCCAUACUCAUGAUGGCUCUCCGUGUUCCCCCCCAGGUUGUCUGCAACACUGUGUAAUCCUCGCAUGCAUCCUCACAAAAGCGGCAUCAUCUCACCCGGAAUGAUGACUUCUUUCUCAGCUGGAGCUUUCAGCCGAAAUGGACAGCUUCCAGAGGAGAUUCUGUAUGCUGAGGGCUGGGAGAGGGGAUGCUGGUUGGGAAAUCUGUUCCAGCAUUGUGGUGGGGGUUAAAUUAGACGGCUGUCAUCUGGCCUUGCAGAAAGCAAAUAAAGCCUCAUUGCUUCGUACCA
RNAcentral lists this long non-coding RNA (1190 nucleotides) under Anser brachyrhynchus (Pink-footed goose). RNAcentral describes it as "lncRNA (ENSABRG00000012519.1)". Lineage: Eukaryota; Metazoa; Chordata; Aves; Anseriformes; Anatidae. The record is from RNAcentral.